UCGCCUACGGGCGGCAGCAGUGGGGAAUAUUGGACAAUGGGCGCAAGCCUGAUCCAGCAAUGCCGCGUGAGUGAUGAAGGCCUUAGGGUUGUAAAGCUCUUUCGGCGGGGAAGAUGAUGACGGUACCCGCAGAAGAAGCCCCGGCUAACUUCGUGCCAGCAGCCGCGGUAAUACGAAGGGGGCUAGCGUUGUUCGGAAUUACUGGGCGUAAAGGGCGCGUAGGCGGCGCAUUAAGUCAGGUGUGAAAGCCCUGGGCUCAACCCAGGAAUUGCACUUGAUAAUGAGGUGGUUGAAUCCGGAAGAGGAUGACGGAAUUCCCAGUGUAGAGGUGAAAUUCAUUGAUAUUGGGAAGAACACCAGUGGCGAAGGCGGUCAUCUGGUCCGGUAUUGACGCUGAGGCGCGAAAGCGUGGGGAGCAAACAGGAUUAGAUACCCGAGUAGUCUCC
Molecule: ribosomal RNA, 446 nt
Filed under: uncultured Rhodospirillaceae bacterium
Lineage: Bacteria; Pseudomonadati; Pseudomonadota; Alphaproteobacteria; Rhodospirillales; Rhodospirillaceae
Description: bacterial SSU rRNA
Rfam family: Bacterial small subunit ribosomal RNA
Source: RNAcentral